GACGAACGCUGGCGGCGUGCUUAACACAUGCAAGUCGAACGGAAAGGCCCUGCUUUUGUGGGGUGCUCGAGUGGCGAACGGGUGAGUAACACGUGAGUAACCUGCCCUUGACUUUGGGAUAACUUCAGGAAACUGGGGCUAAUACCGGAUAGGAGCUCCUGCUGCAUGGUGGGGGUUGGAAGGUUUCGGCGGUUGGGGAUGGACUCGCGGCUUAUCAGCUUGUUGGUGGGGUAGUGGCUUACCAAGGCUUUGACGGGUAGCCGGCCUGAGAGGGUGACCGGCCACAUUGGGACUGAGAUACGGCCCGGACUCCUACGGGAGGCAGCAGUGGGGAAUAUUGCACAAUGGGCGGAAGCCUGAUGCAGCAACGCCGCGUGCGGGAUGACGGCCUUCGGGUUGUAAACCGCUUUCGCCUGUGACGAAGCGUGAGUGACGGUAAUGGGUAAAGAAGCACCGGCUAACUACGUG
This 468-nucleotide ribosomal RNA is filed under the name uncultured bacterium. RNAcentral describes it as "partial 16S ribosomal RNA". It matches the Rfam family "Bacterial small subunit ribosomal RNA", at positions 28 to 507 of the family's 1533-position model. The record is from RNAcentral.